GACGAACGCUGGCGGCGUGCUUAACACAUGCAAGUCGAACGGAAAGGCCCUGCUUUUGUGGGGUGCUCGAGUGGCGAACGGGUGAGUAACACGUGAGUAACCUGCCCUUGACUUUGGGAUAACUUCAGGAAACUGGGGCUAAUACCGGAUAGGAGCUCCUGCUGCAUGGUGGGGGUUGGAAAGUUUCGGCGGUUGGGGAUGGACUCGCGGCUUAUCAGCUUGUUGGUGGGGAAGUGGCUUACCAAGGCUUUGACGGGUAGCCGGCCUGAGAGGGUAACCGGCCACAUUGGGACUGAGAUACGGCCCAGACUCCUACGGGAGGCAGCAGUGGGGAAUAUUGCACAAUGGGCGGAAGCCUGAUGCAGCAACGCCGCGUGCGGGAUGACGGCCUUCGGGUUGUAAACCGCUUUCGCCUGUGACGAAGCGUGAGUGACGGUAAUGGGUAAAGAAGCACCGGCUAACUACGUG
This 468-nucleotide ribosomal RNA is filed under the name uncultured bacterium. RNAcentral describes it as "partial 16S ribosomal RNA". It matches the Rfam family "Bacterial small subunit ribosomal RNA", at positions 28 to 507 of the family's 1533-position model. The record is from RNAcentral.